This is a long non-coding RNA of Dromaius novaehollandiae (emu), 4334 nucleotides long. RefSeq lists it as uncharacterized. The transcript has 12 exons. Lineage: Eukaryota; Metazoa; Chordata; Aves; Casuariiformes; Dromaiidae. The record is from RefSeq and is a predicted model, not a curated record.
AUGAGGAUCAACUCAUUACGAUCAGUUUAACAGACUGACAUCAUGUGAGAAAAAGAGAUGGAGAAAAAAUGCCUAAAAAAUUAAACUGUGGAAUGGUGUGUCACAGGAGAAGGAAACAGAGAUAGUGUGUACCAUUGUCAGAAAAAAGGCAAGUACAGAAAUGAUCGUGGUAGAGGAGACUUCGCUGUCGAAACGACUUUUCCCUAAACCAGUACAAGCAGUAUUCUGUAACAGCAGUCGUUGAGAAGAGCAAGAAGAGAACCUGAUAGUGAGUAAAGACUUCUCAUCAGAUGGAAAUGGCUCGGAAUUGGUUUCUGCUGUGAGUCAGCAAAGGCAUUAUUCAAACAGCUCAUGGAGGUGGACUGCUCAAACGUGGAACUCCUGCACGAAUGAGAUCCUCCUUUGUCCUGCAGAAGCUUUCAUGAAGAUCAAGCUCUGAGGACCUUGCAAAGCACCAUGAUCAACUGAACUCGCAUGAUAAUCUCCCCAGAACUGCAAGAAAAAGAACUGGGAGUAGCUGCCAGCAAGAGCCGCUCACAGGGAAGGGCAGUGGCUGUUUACCUGCUUUGCUCAGACAGACCAGGCGAGGACAGGGAGAACAGUUAAAUGGUUUGCUUUCAUCAAAAUGGACCAUGUUUGUUCCUGUUAGACGGCUAGAGAGAGAGGAAGGAUUCCUGUUGGCAUUCCCAUUGGUGAAAGUUGGAUCUCACUCUGAACAUAAGGAUCUGGAUCACAUCCAUUAGCAGGACUAAAAGCAGUGCCAUGUCAAGAUAGUGUAACAACCAGGGAAUUGCAGAUGCCAAGCACAGACCCGCUUCUCCAGCAGAAGACAGUGACAUGACCCAAAUGGAAGCGCAAGGCUCAUAUGGUUACAUUCAAUGAUCAGUUCUCCUUGGAUGGAUUGUGACCCCCCCAGAAAUGUCGCAGAGGGAGAUUGAACUGAUGGACGUACAAAUCAGGCUAUUGCAGCACACACAUUUCAGAUGAGGGAGGCCUAUUCUGAUGGAAACAUCUGGUUUCAUUAUACCGGGAGCAUAAUCCAGAGACAGUUCAUAUGAAGGUCCGUGAGCAAGGCAAAUCGUCUCCCUCCUGUCCUGCGUGAGUGAAGACACUUAACCUGCUCUCUCUGCAAUGUCGUGUCUAUGCUGGUGGGCAUUGCCGUGAUCCAUGUGGUUUUCAUCACUGCCAGGAAGGGGAGCUCCUUGGUCUGAGAGAAGAGAUGCAUGUCUGGGACCGCAUCCCACCGUCGCAGGCAGUGACAGCCGGCGCUGCUGCUCUCUGCAGGCUAUUGCCCAGUUUCUUCUGGUGAGGUGCUCACUCACGGCAUGGCCCUUCCCACAGAGCUUUGCUGGUCUAAGAAGUCCUAUGCUGACGGUGCCAAAGCCCAGAUGUGGAAUAUGACGCUGGACAAAGACGCAUGAUGGGGGCACACAGGAUUGUUCACGCAGAAAACACAUAAUCCCUCUGGGAUCCCGUCCUCUAAAUCAGAUGGGAUUGCAUGUUCUGCUCUAAGAGCAGUACUUGGAACGAGAUCAUUGCAGCCUCACGUGGACCUAAACCUGAAACACCAAAACCUCCGGACAGAGAAGUGAUUGAGAAUGGCCUUUCCUGAGCUCUUUCAAUGGAAGAACCACCAACCUCUUUGAUUAACAAAAUAUUUCUGGCCCAGAGAUCUGCUGUUGUUUAGCAGCCUGGACUGAGAUAAAUAAUUGAUAAAUAAAUUGAUAAAUAUUGUAUUUAGAAAGUAGAUAAAUGAAAUGUUUCUAAAAUGAAAAUAUUAUUGUUCAGUUACCAACAUUGUAAGUGACAAGUACCAGCUAUGCUUGGUGGCAGCCACGGUCAGCAAUCAGAAAGCAGCUACUGAUAACAUUUGCCAUCUUUUACUAUUUUUGCCAUAAUUACACCACUGUGUAAGGUAAAUCUGAACUGCAAAACCUAGCUGAACUCAUCACAUACCUUACUCAGAUUUGGGACAAGUCAGUAGGGGUUUAUUUCUCUGUUACUUCUCCAGGUUAUUUUUCUGACAACUGCUUCAAAACUGAGCUAUUUUGAAGGGGACUCAAACUCAUCCUGUUUUUGACAGGGAACAAUAGAAAGAUUUAGAGCAUUGUUGGUGGACUGGACCAUAAAUGUCCCCUCACCCCCUCAGAUUUUGUCUCGUGGAGGCUAACAUACCAGGAAAAUACAGCUAUAUGGCACCCACGAGGAGUGACGAGGCCAAAAAGAAACGAAUGGCCACAAUGUUGUACGCCAAAUAUAAGCACAACCUUGACCUGAUGCAUCCUGCAGAAUAUGCUUAGCAUUUCAGGCAAGCGGAGGACAAGAGCAUUCGGAUAAUGGCAUGUGGGCCUUACAGACCCAGCAAUGGGCAAAAGGCAUCGCUCAUUAUUCCCUCAAGGACUCCACAUGCCAGUCUAUGCAAUCUGAUUUGCAAUCAAUUGCAAGUGAUUACACAUUGUUUAUCAUCGAUUGGCACAAGGAAUCCUUGAGAGAAUAAUGAGCUGCAGCUGAUGACAAUCAGAGACUACUGUCUCGUUGCAAGUUUGAUUGCACAUCCUUCCACUGGUGCAAUCGAGCACCCACCACCACCGCAAAGCACCACAAUAAAUAAAUAAGUGAAGCGUGGGAUCAGAAAGUGAAAUGUUAAAACCUCUUUUGAAAAAUAAAGCCCGAAUGAAAGUUCUUUGAUAUGAUAUAGCAAAGUUAAUGUCAUUGCUUUGGAUUAGAAAUAUGAGAAAAAGAUUCCAGUAUAUUGUCCAGCUUACUUUUUGGCAAAUAACAUCUGGACACCAAGCUAUCAUUCCUUUAAAUAAGUAGGAGGAAAAAAUUUGUACCGAGACAUCUGAAAGAAAUCUGUUAUUUUUAAGUAAAGCAUUUAGCCAAGCUAGAGGCCUCGAGAAGAGGCCAUUUUGAGAGCUAGUACCUCCUACUUAUCCCAAAUUCACCUGUUCUUCAUAACAUGCUCUGUUUCGCUGCCAACAAAUGCACAGGCAGGGAAAUAAGUCAUUAUAUCAUGCUGAAGCCGUGGACAUUAUCAAAUGAAUGUGCAGCUCUUUACAAUUGAGAUACCGAGGCCUAAACGUUGUACAAAACAGUAGUUAAAAUCGCAGUAAGCACACCUUGGCCAGGACCCUCAGAAAGGGGAGUCCAUCCCAGACUAUAGCCUGUGUUUGAAGGAUGGUGAGAUUAGGGAAAGUCUAUUCGCUGUGUGAUCUGAGUGGCUUAGACAAUGAUCGGUGCCUGGGACAAACUACUAGAGCUAUAAAUUUGCUUGAAAAGUAGCAGCAACUGUAGUCAUGUGUUUUACCUGGCUCAGUACCAGUGGAAAUGUGAUGAAAAAUACACAGAUUUCUUCAUUAGGGAUUUCAUUUUUGGAAGUUUACAUUCAUGUUAAGUCUUGAAAACUUUUCUGCGGGUCCCAGUGGUGUCAGCAGGAAUUUUGCCAUUGGCUUUGCUGGAACCGAGAUUUUGCCUUCUGAUCUGGAAAUCAGCUCCAUGCAAAUGAAGCAAAAUGCUUGUUUGAAGUCUUAUGCUUCGUAUAGCUGUCACAUUGUUCUCACUGCCUCCCUGGUGAUCAGCUCGCUGCCACUGACAUUUUGGGCUCAUUCCCUGCAUGCCAGUUUAUACGUUCUCCUGGGAUCUCAGAGUCCAAUAUUUAGCAUUUCAGACAACACAGAUUCCAGUUGGGUUAUCCCACUUUGGGUGAUUAUGUUGAAAAGGUCAGCAUACUAGAUGGUGCAGAAUGGUGCUAUAUUUGAGGAACUAUCAACCAGUGGCAGAACUGGGUGUCUUGAGACCUCAGUAAAGCUGUGGAGGGGCUUGAGAUUAAAAUGGUUUCUCAGUGGGCCAGAGAAACACCCAAGCCCUCUCCAAGGGACCAGGAUUCCCUUAGACCUCCUUGUUUGUGAGUCGCCCCACACCUGCCUUCUUCAGAAACCCUGGGCUCAAAAUACAAAUCUACCACUAUCUUUCCAUUUAACCUGGCUCUCUCCACUGUGACACUGGAGUCCAGUUGCCCGGGCAGAACAGGCUCAUGUCUGCAGGCUCCCCAACUGAAGCCUGAUGUUAAAAAAAAACACCCGCAAAAUGCAGUGCUGUCUGACAAAUGACACCAAACCUGACUUAGCCCUCUCCUUCACUGCAAAAUGUUGAGUAGAGCUGUACUGGCUUGUUAGUACAGAAUACAGUGUACUUGGUCUCGAACUGUAAAUCAAUAUCUGUAUCUGAAAGGUGACAUUUCAACAACUGUGGAAUGCUGGAGCCUGUUAGGAUCAUUUUUUUUUAAGUGUCAGAUUAUAAACUUCGUAAAUAAAUGAUGAGUGCACCUCUUACAA